AAUGCCAUAAAUAAAUUGUUUAUUGAUAUAGAAAUUUGGAUGUGCAAGUUCAGGUCUUGCGUCUUGUUAUGUUAACACGUGAUCGACACAACCAUAUAAAUAUAAACCAGCGGUUUUAUGAAGAUGUUUUCGUUCUGUGUCUCUGGGUUGACCCGAAUCCAGAAUUAGCUAGGAAUGUGCGGGGUGACCCAUUUGGCGGGAGCGAUCUGCACGAACUGACACCAGUCACAAAGAAAAAGUGGAUAGCCGAAGCUUGUUUCGACUAAUGGCAAUCGGUAAAUGACCUUGUACACAUUAGUGGCCUCUAUACAAGCGGCAGAGAACUACGCCAGUCACAGCUGAGCUUUGUAAAUAUAAACACAUAAGUCUGCAGCUGGAAGAAGACCUCGACGGUCUGCUACCGUCGAAAUAUCGCAGAACAAUUUUAUGAAAUGUCAUCACUUUUAGAAGCGAUAGAUACAAAAUAUGGCAAAGAAGAGGCAGAUAAUUAUGACCCUGAUUUGCCUGUUGCAAUUUACGUGCCGAAGAAGAGCCCAAGGAACUCAAUCCCGUCACUGUUGGUGCUAAAUGAUUGUGAUAUUGAAAGUGCAGGGGAUGAACAGGAAUUGGAAGAGAAAUGUCAAGAGGUUGAGGAGCUGGACCUAGCUCAGAACAAGCUGAAAAGAUGGACUGAGGUACGUGAAAAGUGAAGGGAAAUUACAGGAAGUGAUAGCUUUGUGUGGACCCAUA
This is a non-coding RNA of Zootermopsis nevadensis, 729 nucleotides long. The record is from RefSeq and is a predicted model, not a curated record. NCBI's taxonomy places the organism in Eukaryota, Metazoa, Arthropoda, Insecta, Blattodea, Termopsidae.